Macaca mulatta (Rhesus monkey) is the source of this 1082-nucleotide non-coding RNA. NCBI's taxonomy places the organism in Eukaryota, Metazoa, Chordata, Mammalia, Primates, Cercopithecidae. The record is from RefSeq and is a predicted model, not a curated record.
UUCCGCAGUCAGGAUUGUGUGCCCCUACGCAAGAUUUUAUUUAGGUCAGGCUGGUUUCACCGGACAGAGGUCAUAGCUACUUGGAGAAGAAGUUAAUCAAAAGAGAUGCCGUUUAGACUCUGAACCUCAAGAGGAUGUUCAGCCCAGUGUGCUUCAGAUAUAGAGGAAAAGUCAACCGUGCAUGGAUCUGCUGCCCCUGACAAAGGAUUCCCACCCUGGGAAGGGGUGCAGGCUUCCUGUGUGCAGGGGCUUGGCUCAGCUUUCUCCACCUCCCUUCAACCUUUGUCCAGCUCAUUCUUAGGACUCUAGUCUGUGGCCUGCCCUCAAGGUGUGUAGCCUCAAAUGGAUGAAUGGACAUCAAAUCUUCUAAGCACGCCUGUGGACCCUCUCCUGGUUCUUGCUAAGAUAAUAAAACUGCUGCAGUCUUGCCAUUUGCCCUAAAUAUUGCUUUACAAUUAACAAUCUAGGGAGUGCUGUUUAGGUUUGUGUGGUUUAAACAAUCAGCAACCAAACCUCAAUGGCUUAACACAAUAGAUGUUGAUUUCUUGCUCACAUCUCCAGGGUGGAGGGGUACACUGUUGGAGGUGGGGACCCUCAGGCAGGGGCAGAGGGUAGGGGACUCUACUUCAUGAAAACACCAGCCAUCUAGCUCAGUGUCCUCCAUUGGAGCCUUGCAUUCACAGGGCAGCAGGGGUUGGGGAGGAGAGGCCAUGGGUGCCUGUACAGAAAGUUUCCAUGGCCUGGUCAAUAGGCGGUGUUCAUCACUCUCGCCCACAUGGCCACACCUCGCAUACCAGGGGGGAAAUGUAGUGCCUGGGGGUAAAGGAUGAUGGCUUGGUGAGCCUCUUGUGGUCUCUGCCACAAAACAUAAUCUCUGGCGUCAGCAAGACUUGAGCUGAAAUCCCAGUCCACCACUGAGUUGUGUGUGCUCAGAACUCUGGAGAAGCAACUGGCCACUGGUGUUAAUGGCACACACGUAGGUAAGUACUGAGGAAAGUGUUCCCAUAGAGGUCGGUCUGACUCCAGAGCUGUGGGAUUUCAGACUUGUUACUUACUCUCUGGGUCGCCAGGUUUUCAACUGG